Molecule: long non-coding RNA, 765 nt
Organism: Perca fluviatilis (European perch)
Lineage: Eukaryota; Metazoa; Chordata; Actinopteri; Perciformes; Percidae
Exons: 4
Source: RefSeq, a predicted model, not a curated record
UAGAUUCUUUAUUUUUAACAUGCAUCAGUUCAGAGUCUCUGACAGUUGACAGCUGAGAAAGGGACAGAAAGGGAGAGAAGCACGAUGGCUGAAUUCAAAUGGAUUAAAAUGUCUUUAUUUGGGAUACUGCUUCAGUUUACAGCUGUUACUGGACAACACCUCUCCACUGUCAGAGAUGGCGAUGAUGUCACUUUGACUUGUGAAAAUGUGGUAGAUGGUCAGGUUAACUGUGACUGGACAACUGGUUCUUCAGAGGUUCAAGAAGCAGCGUAGUAGAUCUGGUUAGUGGUGGGCAGAUUGUUGAAAGAGACAAAGCUAAAUCAGACAGACUGAGUGUUAGAGAGACAUGCUCUCUGGUUAUAAAGAAGGUCACAGUUCAGGAUGUUGGUCUUUACUACUGUCGACAGCUCAAACCAGGACAAGAAGUUGCAGACACUCAGAUUGAACUAUCUGUUAUUAACAUGGAGGAAUAUGAAGAAGGUGGGCGGGUGGAGCUGUCCUGCUCUGUGUCGACACGUGAAGUGUGUAGACACACAGUGAAGUGGCUGUAUGAGGGGAAAGAUGAAGAUGGAGAUAUAAGAUCCACGGAUAUGCAGACUUCACAGUCUAAGUGCUCAGUUACUGGGACGUUUUUUAUUUCUAAUCUCAAGCAGAAGUAUCAAGAGUUGUUCAAGUGUGAAGUGACAGAUGGUUACACUGGAAAAGUGCAGCUGUUUCCCUUCAUCCCUCAGUCCUCAGGGGAGGAUGCAACAACAUUAACCACGC